AUGCGGGUCAGGGUGAGGUCAUCGACGAGCGCGUCAACCGCGGCAGGGUCAUACGCAUCCGAACCGAGGCGGACGGAGGCGUGCGCUAAAGUGGAGUGUCUCGCGCACGCUGAGGAGCGGGAAGAGAACGUCGCGCUGGGUGACGUAGCCGCAGAGGCGGCGCAGGGCCGUGGUGUUGACAGGGGAGCCAUUGACGCGGAGGUCAGUAGGAGGGGUGGAGCUCGGCCUGAGACGGCCGGAGAGGAUCUCGAGCAGCAUGGACUUGCCGUCUCCGCUGGGCCCGACGAUGGCGACCAGGAGCAACUCACCGGGGCGGGCGUGGCAGAUGACGUUGCGGAGCACGAGGCGGCACUGGCUGCUGCCGCUCACUAG
This 372-nucleotide ribosomal RNA is filed under the name Triticum aestivum (bread wheat). Its description in RNAcentral is "partial small subunit ribosomal RNA". Lineage: Eukaryota; Viridiplantae; Streptophyta; Magnoliopsida; Poales; Poaceae. The record is from RNAcentral.